ACAAAGAACAUACAGUAGGAUGCCUACAAGACUAAACACAGAACAGUGAUUCAGGAGGAGGAAAGGAGAUGGGAGAGUACAGAAAGUCACUAACAAUUUGUAGGAAAGGUCAGUGUCACCUUCUGCCAGCUGCAUGAAACAGCUGAUUCCCUAUCUGCACAUCCCAUCUCUGGAGCAUGCAGCCACUAAAAAUCCAUGACCAAAGGACACACAGGCCUUGGCUUGAAGUCAAACUGGCCUUCCAGAGGAACACAUUACAUCAGGUGUUUUAAAGAUUACUAUUCUUGGGAAGAGGUCCUUCCAAAAAUGGUGAACAGCCCUGUGGCAAACAGACUGGUAUCCCAACUAUUAGCCUUCUUGGAUGCCUAACAGUUCCAUGUUUCUAGGAACACCUUUGCUACAAAGCGUCAAAUAUAUGUGCCCUCUGGAUAUUGU
Long non-coding RNA from Dermochelys coriacea (leatherback sea turtle), 435 nucleotides. RefSeq lists it as uncharacterized. Lineage: Eukaryota; Metazoa; Chordata; Testudines; Dermochelyidae. The record is from RefSeq and is a predicted model, not a curated record. The transcript has 3 exons.